Non-coding RNA from Podarcis lilfordi (Lilford's wall lizard), 67 nucleotides. The record is from the annotation of a GenBank genome assembly. NCBI's taxonomy places the organism in Eukaryota, Metazoa, Chordata, Lepidosauria, Squamata, Lacertidae.
GGAUAGCUCUGUUGGUAGAGCAGGAGACUCUGGCUCAGGGUCAUGGGUUUGAGCCCCAUGUUGGGCA